AGGGAGAUGGCUUAGUGGGUAAAGUGCGUGCUUUGUAAACAUGAGAUCAUCUCCCUC
This 57-nucleotide transfer RNA is filed under the name Erinaceus europaeus (western European hedgehog). The record is from Rfam by way of RNAcentral. Lineage: Eukaryota; Metazoa; Chordata; Mammalia; Eulipotyphla; Erinaceidae.